CGUUUAAGACGAAGACGUUGAUAGGCUGGGUGUGUAAGCGUAGCGAUACGUUGAGCUAACCAGUACUAAUGAACCGUGAGGCUUAACCUG
RNAcentral lists this ribosomal RNA (90 nucleotides) under Providencia stuartii. RNAcentral describes it as "partial 23S ribosomal RNA". It matches the Rfam family "Bacterial large subunit ribosomal RNA", at positions 2836 to 2925 of the family's 2925-position model. The record is from RNAcentral. Lineage: Bacteria; Pseudomonadati; Pseudomonadota; Gammaproteobacteria; Enterobacterales; Morganellaceae.